This is a long non-coding RNA of Mastomys coucha (southern multimammate mouse), 265 nucleotides long. RefSeq lists it as uncharacterized. The record is from RefSeq and is a predicted model, not a curated record. The transcript is spliced from 2 exons. Lineage: Eukaryota; Metazoa; Chordata; Mammalia; Rodentia; Muridae.
AGGAUGGUGAUGAAUUGGCUUCUCGAAGCUCUUCUGACAGAGAGUGGAAAUGGUAGCUACCAUGGCCACGGGAUGUCCUAGCUCCCCUGCGCAGAAAGUAAAACUGAAGAGUAACCAUGCAUCACAUAACUACUGCGAGAAAUGCAGAAGUCCAAGGAGGUCCUCGUACCUGGUUCCUGAUGUAAGCAAGGCUUAAGGCCCAAGCGCAAAGACCCUCACCCAGCCCCACUCCUCUCCAGUAUAAAUACCACCUUUAAUAUGCAAA